This is a long non-coding RNA of Ctenocephalides felis (cat flea), 619 nucleotides long. RefSeq lists it as uncharacterized. The transcript is spliced from 2 exons. The record is from RefSeq and is a predicted model, not a curated record. NCBI's taxonomy places the organism in Eukaryota, Metazoa, Arthropoda, Insecta, Siphonaptera, Pulicidae.
UUAAAAUAAGUAAAUUUUAUGCUUAAGACAAUAUGUUUAUUUAUGCUUAUUUAUCUAUGUGUCAAAGGUUCUCGAUUCGUUAGAAAAUUUGAUUAAAAUGGGUAAAUCCUAGGCAAUAUUAGAAUAUGAUGUACUCAUGAGAUGGCAAAUCAAAAUUUUACAAGUUCAGAUGCAAAUGAAGAAAAUACAAAUGAACCUCUACCAGAAUUUAUUUGCUCGUGUUGUUCACUUAAACAACCUUAUGACUAUAAAGGAUGUAAUCCUCCAUUUGCAAAAAAUAUAGCUACAAUUGAUGAAUCCUAUAUAAUGAAAGAUCCUUUUAGUCCUGAGAACAAAAAUGAAAUUCUUAUAUUGGGAGCCGAUUGUAGUAUUUGUCAAGAAUCUGUAUGCGUAUCAACCACUUGCAGUAUAUUUUUCAUGAAAACUCUAUGCAAGAAAUGUGCAUUGAAACAGAAAAACAUGUACCCUGAACGAUUUAAACAAAUUAUUGAACAUGUUUUUAAAUAAAUGCUUAGGUAGUUGAAUAAAUGUUUGUAUUUAAAUUUAUAUUUAAAAUUAACUGUUUAAAUAUUGUGAAAAAGAAAAUAUAGAAAAUAAUUGAAUAAAAUGUGGGUUGAUA